UGCUUUCAAAUUAUAAAUACAUAAAAGAUUUUAUGUAAACCAUGUGUUUUUCACACACACAUUUCAAGCCUCUAAAUGAUCAAAAUGUUUUUCUAAACUUGUCUUCUGUCCCUGAUUGAGAGUUCAGAGUGUUUUAUCCAGUCAGAGCUCUUUUAGUGUAAUCAGCUUCAGCUGCUGCUUCUGGUGUCAGAUCUUGAGUGAUUUUGAUCAAGUAAAGGUCAGAAUAACUGCAGUAAUAUCUCCAGAUGAACUCUUACUGGACUUUACUUGAUUCUCCAUCAAUCAUGUUUUAGAGUCUCAAAUCUGAUCAUCAGGAUCUUCUGAGGAGCGUUUGUUUCCAGAAGCUUUACUUUCACUGUUCCUCAGCGGAGGAAUGAUCUUCACAAGCCUCCAGAACAUCUCACAUCUUCUGAGGAGCCUUUAUUUCUUCAUCUCUCAAUCACUGCAUUAUAUGUUUGGAUCAUUUACUGCAGAUAUAGACCGACCGCUGAUAUUUAGAUCAGUUUAUCUGCAGUUAGAAAGCAAUAAACAUCCAUGUGUGUUUCUGAAAGAAGUUAACAUGAAGAACGCAUGCACACAAACUCUCUCACUUUGACCAUUUAUUCACAUCGUUUUCAU
Cyprinus carpio carpio is the source of this 618-nucleotide long non-coding RNA. NCBI's taxonomy places the organism in Eukaryota, Metazoa, Chordata, Actinopteri, Cypriniformes, Cyprinidae. The record is from Ensembl.